Molecule: RNA transcript, 999 nt
Organism: Rhinopithecus roxellana (golden snub-nosed monkey)
Lineage: Eukaryota; Metazoa; Chordata; Mammalia; Primates; Cercopithecidae
Gene name: annexin-2 receptor-like
Exons: 1
Source: RefSeq, a predicted model, not a curated record
CUUGGCCCUUGCAGCGCUCUUUAAUACCUGCGUUCUGUAGUGCUAGUUCUCUGCAAGGUUUGCUUAGCGUUGUUUCAUUUCGGUUUCUUUUCUCGCUAUGUUCUUCUGUCGGAAUUACGGUUCGUUUUGGUUCUAUGUACUCUCUAAAAUUUUACCGUUUUUCAUUUGUCCACGAAUCUUCGUGCAUUUGCUACUAAUGAGUUUCUUGAUAUCUGACUGGCCUCCGCCCACGGGCUCUGGAGAGCAUAAAUACCCAGGCUGAGGGUAGUGCAGAAGACUCUCCCUCCUUGAUCAGCGCCAACGUUUGUUUCCUCCUGGUCUGAGGCUUAAGCGAUGGAGCAACAUUUUCUUGGCUGUGUGAAGCGGCCUUGGGAUUCCGCGGAGGUGGCGCCAGAGCCCGGGUCUCCGCCUAUUGUGAGUUCAGAAGAUCGUGGGCCGUGGCCUCUCCCUUUGUAUCCUACUAGGAGAGUACUCAUUGGACAGCUGUGACUUGGGACUGCUUUCCAGUCCUUGCUGGCGGCUACCCGGAGUCUUCUGGCAAACGGCUCUUUCCUGGAGUCCAGCGCACCUUGGAACCAAGUACAGCGAAGUCCCUGGGUUCAGUUGGCCGGGGCACAGAAGCAGCAAGAGGCACCCGUGGGAGGGGGCAGGGAGGAGGAACCCGACAGACUCACGCUCCAGCAGCUUUCCUGGGGCAGUCCUCCCCAUUCCUGGAACAGACAGCAGGACACCGACGUCUCUGACAGCGGGUGCCUUUCGGAACGCCGCCAUCCUCCUGCCCUCCGUCGGUGGCGCCACCCCCCGGGUUUCUCAGACUGCCUGGAGCGGAUUCUUCGCGUUGGUUUUGCCGCGUUCUCUGUACUCUGGGCGUGCUGCCUACGAAUCUGUGGAGCUAAGCAGCCUUAGAUAUCAGCAGAAGCCUCUUUGGAUUCUCCUCCCUGAAAAGAUUCUCAGUUACCAAGCGUCUCCACCUAGAAAAUAAAAACACAUUAAGAUGUG